RNAcentral lists this unclassified non-coding RNA (329 nucleotides) under Coprinopsis urticicola. RNAcentral's name for it is "partial internal transcribed spacer region". The stretch from base 1 to 46 matches the Rfam family "Eukaryotic small subunit ribosomal RNA", at positions 1786 to 1831 of the family's 1831-position model. RNAcentral also lists the same sequence under 1 other name. The record is from RNAcentral. Lineage: Eukaryota; Fungi; Basidiomycota; Agaricomycetes; Agaricales; Psathyrellaceae.
AAGUCGUAACAAGGUUUCCGUAGGUGAACCUGCGGAAGGAUCAUUAUUGAAUAAAUCUGGCGUGAGGUUGUAGCUGGCUCUCCGGAGCAUGUGCACACCUUCGUCACCUUUAUCUUUCCACCUGUGCACACACUGUAGUCCUGGAUACCUCUCGCCGCAAGGCGGAUGCAGAGCCUGCUGUGACUUUGGCAACAAAGACCAGUCUUGCUCUGAAUUUCCAGGGUCUACGAUCUUUACACACCCCUAAACGAAUGUCAUAGAAUGUAUAUCACUGGGCCUUUGUGCCUAUAAACCUUAUACAACUUUCAACAACGGAUCUCUUGGCUCUC